This is a non-coding RNA of Taeniopygia guttata (zebra finch), 488 nucleotides long. Lineage: Eukaryota; Metazoa; Chordata; Aves; Passeriformes; Estrildidae. The record is from RefSeq and is a predicted model, not a curated record.
UGUGAUCAAACUUCCUUCUCCCUCUGUGACCACUGGUGACCAAGGAUGAGUGAACAGUCUUGUGUUCCUAUGCUGGCAAGCUGGAGACAGUGAUUUGCCCAUUUGCUUUCUGCGACCCUGGUUCACGCAGCAACUGGUUAGAGAAUCCUUGGAUGACUUUUGAAAACAAUUCCUCUGAGAAAACAACCAUUCUUCUAAGCACUAAACUGUGCUUAGAUGACUGAACCAGGCUGGACAGCAAAAGAGGCAAAAGUUGCUCUCUGAUUUUAAAGUGAGGAAAAAAACUGGACCGCGGAAGAAGAAAUUACAGGAUAAGCUGAUGGAGUUCUUUCCAACUCCCACAUACGAGCUAAGUAUGAUGAUCUGCCUCACGGCCCUAGAGGACUUCCAGUAGUUUCAGGGAGAAUGGAUCUUCUGUUUCUUUUCUCCACAGCGAAGUUUUCCAACAGCAUAGAUAAUGCUCAAUAAAUGAGGAGUUUUUUUCCUGA